UUUGAGAAUGAAAUCUCACCGCAUAAAAGAAUGGACAAACUCUUGUUGCAGUGGAAUAAAAAGCAUUAAAUAUCUUCUUUUUUUCUUUUUAUAACUGUAGUGCCGGGACUAGCUUGCAUGCACCUUGACUAAUUUUACGGGAUGCCUACCACCUCCCAGUGAAAUGGUGCAGACUUCCUGUUUCCUAGAUGGCUUAAAGUGGUGCUGCCGUCUCACUCCAAGUACUUCCAGCAGCUUUAGUAUUUUCGUCGGAAUGUAACUUGGAAUUCCUGUCACAUCAUAAGACUCCAGAAAAUCUUGACCAUGUCUACAAAACCAUUGAUCUCAACCACAUAUUCUCAUAUCAAAGUGGGACUGUCUUUGCUCCCACUGUCCCAAAUUCAAGGAAAAUGAUCUGACGGAGUCUUAAGAAGGAUAGAACGUCAAAUGUACCUCAACUAUAUAUCCCAGUCAGUAGAAGACAAGAGGGGUUGCUCUGAUGGUAAGCAACCCCCACUUCCAGCCAAGAGGUUGUGAGUCUCCCCAAGAGCAAGGUGGGAAGUUCUUGGAGGGAAGGAUGCUGGGGGUCUAUUUGGAAACAGUCUCUCUACCCAAGGGUAAGGGUAAGGUCUGCGUACACUACCCUCCUCAGACCCCACUAAGUGGGAUUAUAUUGGGUUGUUGUUGUUGUUGUUGUUGUUGUUGUUGUCGCUGCCGGAUUUGAACCCGAGACCUCAGGUUCUCAACCUACUAAUAUCUUGUUCAACUAAUUGUAUCUGUCCUGCUCAGACGCUCUCUGACUAUGUCAAAACACUGGCUUUGCCCUAUCACUUAAAAGCCUAGCAAAUGCUCACCUGAUUAUUCAGGUCACACAUGUCACUCCAAGGACACAUAUUUGAAGCUGCUGUUCGACCA
RNAcentral lists this long non-coding RNA (894 nucleotides) under Nicotiana benthamiana. RNAcentral's name for it is "long non-coding RNA (NBEN_LNC021732)". The record is from RNAcentral. Lineage: Eukaryota; Viridiplantae; Streptophyta; Magnoliopsida; Solanales; Solanaceae.